RNAcentral lists this ribosomal RNA (465 nucleotides) under uncultured bacterium. RNAcentral describes it as "partial 16S ribosomal RNA". It matches the Rfam family "Bacterial small subunit ribosomal RNA", at positions 339 to 795 of the family's 1533-position model. The record is from RNAcentral.
CUACGGGGCGCUCCAGUGGGGAAUCUUGCGCAAUGGACGAAAGUCUGACGCAGCCACGCCGCGUGAGUGAAGAAGGCCUUCGGGUUGUAAAGCUCUGUCACCUGGGACGAAAACGCUUAAGGUUAAUAGCCUUAGGAAUUGACGGUACCAGGGGAGGAAGCACCGGCUAACUUCGUGCCAGCAGCCGCGGUAAUACGAAGGGUGCAAGCGUUGCUCGGAAUUAUUGGGCGUAAAGGGUUGGUAGGUGGUCUUGUUUGUCUAAGGUGAAAUCCCAUGGCUUAACUGUGGAAGUGCCUUAGAAACGGCAAGACUAGAGUCCUAGAGGGGUUUGUGGAAUUCCCGGUGUAGCGGUGAAAUGCGUAGAGAUCGGGAGGAACACCAGAGGCGAAGGCGGCAAACUGGAUAGGUACUGACACUGAACAACGAAAGCGUGGGGAGCAAACAGGAUUAGAUACCCUAGUAGUC